This 81-nucleotide transfer RNA is filed under the name Paragonimus heterotremus. It matches the Rfam family "tRNA". From Rfam's summary of the family: Transfer RNA (tRNA) molecules are approximately 80 nucleotides in length. Their secondary structure includes four short double-helical elements and three loops (D, anti-codon, and T loops). Lineage: Eukaryota; Metazoa; Platyhelminthes; Trematoda; Plagiorchiida; Troglotrematidae. The record is from Rfam by way of RNAcentral.
GGCUUCGUAGCUCAGCUGGUAGGUCGCUUGCCGCGUAGAGGCAUGGUGUUUCUGCCGCUGGUUCGAAUCCAGCCGAAGCCC